AUAAUACUAUCCCCCACCAAACCCGUCGAACUCUACGGUGUAUAGCACUACCCGUACCGCGUCCACUCUCACUCUUAACUCCCCCACUCACCAUGGAUUCCAAAUCCGGCCACCACUUACUGCUUUCAGCACUCACACUCUUCCUCUCAAUCUCUCUCCCCUCAGCAACAGACACCUCACCAAUCACUCGCUUCCAACAAUACCUCCGAAUCAACACAGCCCACCCAAACCCUGACUACACCUCCGCAAUCGCCUUUCUCAAAACCCUAGCUCACUCCAUCGGCCUCCAAACCCUAACCCUCCAGAUCACCCCAACCAAGCCCCUCCUCCUCCUUACCUGGCCCGGCUCAAACCCUACCCUUCCCUCAAUCCUCCUCAAUUCCCACCUCGACUCCGUACCCGCCGAACCCUCCAAGUGGACCCACGAUCCCUUCGCCGCCGUCCGCUCCGACGACGGCAAGAUAUUCGCCCGCGGAGCCCAGGACGACAAGUGUAUUGCCCUCCAGUACCUCGAAGCCAUCAAAACCCUUAAAAAUGAGCUCAAUUUCGUACCCACUCGAACGGUGCACGUAUCGUAUGUGCCUGAUGAGGAAAUUGGUGGGGGUGAUGGGAUGGCGAAGUUCGUGAAGUCGAAGGAGUUUGGGAAAUUGAAUGUAGGGUUUGUGCUGGAUGAGGGUCAGGCUUCCACCAACGAUGAAUUUAGGGUUUUUUAUGCUGACCGGUCGCCGUGGAAUUUGGUUAUUAGGGCUUUGGGGAUGCCGGGACACGGUUCGAGGUUAUUUGAUAACAGUGCUAUGGAGAAUUUGAUGAAGAGCAUUGAGAUUAUGACUAAGUUUAGGGGGACUCAAUUUGAUGUGGUUAAAGCUGGAUUAGCUGCCAAUUCGGAAGUUAUUUCGGUUAAUCCUGUGUAUCUAAAAGCUGGAAUUCCGACCCCCACUGGAUUUGUGAUGAAUAUGCAACCCUCUGAGGCGGAAGCUGGGUUUAACAUUCGAAUGCCCCCAAUGACCGACCCAGAUCUUCUGAGGAAGAGAAUCGCGGACGAAUGGGCACCAGUUACUAGGAACAUGACAUAUGAGAUAAGGGAGAUAGGACCGCUAAGGGACAAUAUGGGACGCCCUUUAAUGACAGCCACCAAUGAAUCCAACCCCUGGUGGUCUCUUUUCAACCAAGCUAUCACAGCAGCUGGUGGGAAACUUGCAAAGCCUGAAAUCUUGGCUUCAACUACAGAUGCUCGGUUCAUGAGACAGAUGGGAAUUCCGACUCUUGGUUUCUCCCCGAUGAAAAACACUCCCAUCUUACUUCAUGACCAUAAUGAGUUUCUGAAGGAUACUGUGUACUUGGAGGGAAUUAAGAUAUAUGAGUCCAUAAUCAAGAUUUUCAGUUCCUUUGAGGGAGCUUCUCUUUAGAUCGGUAGUCGAUGGGGAAAGUACGAGAUUCAACAUGAUAAUGGUCUUAUGCCGGACCAUUGUGCUCUAAAGAGCAUUGAUUUUUACAGUGAGGAAAUGAAGAGAGACCUUUGGGGUCCUAUUCUCUAACCGGGAGGGUGUGUCAUAAGUUGCACAAAAGGUGAACAAAAUUAGACCCCUUACCAGUCUAUUUGCAAUAUCUUUCUAUGAUUUUCUUGUGCUUGUCUACAGAUUCACUACCAUAAUUAUUGAAGAAUUCUUGUCAUUUCAUGAUUGUGAAAAGCUCUUCCAGAUACCGCCUCAUGGAGGAGGAAGGGGAGAGGAGAGAAAAGAGCUUGUACGGAUUAACGACACGAUUCUCAUCAUGCACGUUUAUGAUUCGUUGAGAUUAAUGCAAUUAUUCGAAGAAUCUUGUUUCACUAUUGUUUUUCUCUUCCUUGGUAAGAAAUUCGUGUUCAUAUGCUCCUUGAAUACUGGAACCCUCACCUGUCAUUUCGAGAGAAGUUGACAAGUAGAGAAGAGACCUCCACUACAUCUAUUUUUGCAUUUGUGUGAUUGUACCAAAGUUUAUACUAUAUGGCUCUUUGCUCAUUUGUGCAU
This is an RNA transcript of Cornus florida, 2006 nucleotides long. RefSeq lists it as uncharacterized. The transcript is spliced from 6 exons. The record is from RefSeq and is a predicted model, not a curated record. Lineage: Eukaryota; Viridiplantae; Streptophyta; Magnoliopsida; Cornales; Cornaceae.